Molecule: long non-coding RNA, 316 nt
Filed under: Lepisosteus oculatus (spotted gar)
Lineage: Eukaryota; Metazoa; Chordata; Actinopteri; Semionotiformes; Lepisosteidae
Description: lncRNA (ENSLOCG00000021363.1)
Source: RNAcentral
CGUACCUUGAAGAGUACCAGAAGCAGGUGCAGUGCCUUGGAUUACCCCCACCAGAUUUCUUUGAUCAUGGGAAAGAGCUGUGUCCCUUCAAAGAGAAAUCAGAAGUUUCUCAUACACAGCUUUCAAAAUCGGACAAAGACUAACUCCAUAAAACCUUCCAGGUUGUCCAGAAAAAACAGCAAAAACCCAUCUAUUCUAUUUUUUUUAGAAUGAUUGUUCACCCUUAGCAAUUAGUUAAUAUAUACAUAUGCACCUACUUAUCUGUUACCUUGAGAGCAAGGACUAAGCAUCUCUGCUUUUGUAAAACACCUUUCCC